RNAcentral lists this ribosomal RNA (253 nucleotides) under uncultured bacterium. Its description in RNAcentral is "partial 16S ribosomal RNA". It matches the Rfam family "Bacterial small subunit ribosomal RNA", at positions 524 to 776 of the family's 1533-position model. The record is from RNAcentral. RNAcentral also lists the same sequence under 1 other name.
UACGUAGGUGGCAAGCGUUGUCCGGAUUUAUUGGGUUUAAAGGGUGCGUAGGCGGUCUUUUAAGUCAGUGCUGAAAUAUCCCGGCUUAACCGGGAGGGUGGCAUUGAUACUGAAGGACUUGAGUUCAGUCGAGGUAGGCGGAAUUGACGGUGUAGCGGUGAAAUGCUUAGAUAUCGUCAAGAACACCGAUAGUGUAGACAGCUUACUAGGCUGAAACUGACGCUGAGGCACGAAAGUGUGGGGAUCAAACAGG